UACUCCUACGGGAGGCAGCAGUGGGGAAUUUUGGACAAUGGGGGCAAGCCUGAUCCAGCCAUUCCGCGUGAGUGAAGAAGGCCUUCGGGUUGUAAAGCUCUUUCACAAGAGAAGAAAAGAUUGUGACUAAUAAUCCGAGAUCAUGACGGUUCAACAGAGAGCC
This 163-nucleotide ribosomal RNA is filed under the name uncultured Nitrosomonas sp. RNAcentral's name for it is "partial 16S ribosomal RNA". It matches the Rfam family "Bacterial small subunit ribosomal RNA", at positions 334 to 509 of the family's 1533-position model. Lineage: Bacteria; Pseudomonadati; Pseudomonadota; Betaproteobacteria; Nitrosomonadales; Nitrosomonadaceae. The record is from RNAcentral.